CCAGCCCAUGAUGUGUGUGGGUCAGGAAACAUGGGAGAGAGGGGAGGACGGGUUUCAAGGCCAGGGGUGUUACCCCUGAAGUGGAGCCUGUCAUCGGGUACAAGUGAAAUGAAUCCAAGACUGAACUGGACCAGAGGACAAGCAUGACAGGAAGGAGGGGUCUGCAAUUUUGCCUGAAGUCAUUACCUCCGGAAAACGGAAAGUAAAUACAUGCUACUGCCACUCAAGA
Long non-coding RNA from Sinocyclocheilus rhinocerous, 229 nucleotides. RefSeq lists it as uncharacterized. The record is from RefSeq and is a predicted model, not a curated record. The transcript is spliced from 3 exons. Lineage: Eukaryota; Metazoa; Chordata; Actinopteri; Cypriniformes; Cyprinidae.